UCACCUAUCAACGACUGAUAUGGCUUAGUGCUCUUCCUGUAAGUUAGUGUAUUAGGUUACUUACUAUCUAGGUUAGCUAACACUAAGUAGUGUCCGUGUGCGCAAAGAGCGCGAGAACGCCAAUUGGAACACAGUCCGUGGCUUUCUGCUUAGCUCACUAGCCACAGUAGCUCACCUAGCGUUAGCUAACAAAGUGAAGUGACAGUGGUGUUUGUGAAGGAGAUACAGGAGGAGAAGCUGGAGGAGGUGGAGCAGGAGAGGCUGAAGGAGAUGGAGGAACAGAGACAGGAGGAGCAGAGACUAGUGGAGGAGGUAGAGCAGGGGAGACCUAUGGAGGACCAAAAAUGACGUCAAGAGUGUGGGUGUCAUCCUUCCAUCUCCCAAAUAUUAAUCGUCUUCGUCCUUCUCUUACUCCUCACACUACAGCUAUUCCUCCUGCUCGUCUUGUUACCCGGCUCUGGAAUUCACUCCCACCCGAUCUCCGUAACAUAGACUCAUUGCCACAUAUCAAAUCCAAACUCAAAACUCAUCUGUUUAAAGUUGCUUAUGAUUUGUGAUUAUUAAUCCUAUUCAUUUUUUUUAACUGUGUAUUUUAUAUUCUGUCCGUUUUAUGUUAAAUCAUGUAAGGUGACCUUGAGUGUCAAGCAAGGCGCCCACAAAUAAAAUGUAUUAUUAUUAUUGUUACUUACUGUAUUCUGUAUUCUUUUACUUAUUGAUUUUUACUUACCCAG
Astyanax mexicanus (Mexican tetra) is the source of this 731-nucleotide long non-coding RNA. RefSeq lists it as uncharacterized. The record is from RefSeq and is a predicted model, not a curated record. The transcript has 3 exons. Lineage: Eukaryota; Metazoa; Chordata; Actinopteri; Characiformes; Acestrorhamphidae.